AGUGAACGCUGGCGGUAGGCCUAACACAUGCAAGUCGAACGGCAGCACAGUAAGAGCUUGCUCUUACGGGUGGCGAGUGGCUGACGGGUGAGGAAUACAUCGGAAUCUACUUUUUCGUGGGGGAUAACGUAGGGAAACUUACGCUAAUACCGCAUACGACCUACGGGUGAAAGCAGGGGAUCUUCGGACCUUGCGCGAUUGAAUGAGCCGAUGUCGGAUUAGCUAGUUGGCGGGGUAAAGGCCCACCAAGGCGACGAUCCGUAGCUGGUCUGAGAGGAUGAUCAGCCACACUGGAACUAAGACACGGUCCAGACUCCUACGGGAGGCAGCAGUGGGGAAUAUUGGACAAUGGGCGCAAGCCUGAUCCAGCCAUACCGCGUGGGUGAAGAAGGCCUUCGGGUUGUAAAGCCCUUUUGUUGGGAAAGAAAAGCAGCAGGUUAAUACCCCGCUGUUCUGACGGUACCCAAAGAAUAAGCACCGGCUAACUUCGUG
This 492-nucleotide ribosomal RNA is filed under the name uncultured bacterium. RNAcentral's name for it is "partial 16S ribosomal RNA". It matches the Rfam family "Bacterial small subunit ribosomal RNA", at positions 29 to 507 of the family's 1533-position model. The record is from RNAcentral.